CCAUCGCCUCUUUUAAGAGGCACCACCAGUAUUCACUGAACAAAGU
This is a non-coding RNA of Stomoxys calcitrans (stable fly), 46 nucleotides long. NCBI's taxonomy places the organism in Eukaryota, Metazoa, Arthropoda, Insecta, Diptera, Muscidae. The record is from Rfam.